UGCUCCUCGGGUGACGAGUGGCGGACGGGUGAUAAUGUCUGGGGAUCUGCCCGAUAGAGGGGGAUAACCACUGGAAACGGUGGCUAAUACCGCAUAACGUCGCAAGACCAAAGAGGGGGACCUUCGGGCCUCUCACUAUCGGAUGAACCCAGAUGGGAUUAGCUAGUAGGCGGGGUAAUGGCCCACCUAGGCGACGAUCCCUAGCUGGUCUGAGAGGAUGACCAGCCACACUGGAACUGACACACGGUCCAGACUCCUACGGGAGGCAGCAGUGGGGAAUAUUGCACAAUGGGCGCAAGCCUGAUGCACCCAUGCCGCGUGUAUGAAGAAGGCCUUCGGGUUGUAAAGUACUUUCAGCGGGGAGGAAGGCGGUGCGGUUAAUAACCGCGCCGAUUGACUUUACCCGCAAAAGAAGCACCGGCUAACUCCGUGCCAGCAGCCGCGGUAAUACGGAGGGUGCAAGCGUUAAUCAGAAUUACUGGGCGUAAAGCGCACGCAGGCGGUCUGUUAAGUCAGAUGUGAAAUCCCCGGGCUUAACCUGGGAACUGCAUUUGAAACUGGCAGGCUUGACUCUCGUAGAGGGGGGUAGAAUUCCAGGUGUAGCGGUGAAAUGCGUAGAGAUCUGGAGGAAUACCGGUGGCGAACGCGGCCCCCUGGACAAAGACUGACUCUCAUGUGCGAAAGCGUGGGGAGCA
RNAcentral lists this ribosomal RNA (695 nucleotides) under Pantoea deleyi. RNAcentral's name for it is "bacterial SSU rRNA". It matches the Rfam family "Bacterial small subunit ribosomal RNA", at positions 78 to 770 of the family's 1533-position model. Lineage: Bacteria; Pseudomonadati; Pseudomonadota; Gammaproteobacteria; Enterobacterales; Erwiniaceae. The record is from RNAcentral.